Molecule: ribosomal RNA, 305 nt
Filed under: uncultured bacterium
Lineage: Bacteria
Description: bacterial SSU rRNA
Rfam family: Bacterial small subunit ribosomal RNA
Source: RNAcentral
GAGAUCCUACGGGGGGCAGCAGUGGGGGAUAUUGCACAAUGGGGGGAACCCUGAUGCAGCGACGCCGCGUGAGCGAAGAAGUACCUCGGUAUGUAAAGCUCUAUCAGCAGGGAAGAAAAUGACGGUACCUGACUAAGAAGCCCCGGCUAAAUACGUGCCAGCAGCCGCGGUAAUACGUAUGGGGCAAGCGUUAUCCGGAUUUACUGGGUGUAAAGGGCGUGUAGCCGGGCCGGCAAGUCAGAUGUGAAAUCCCAAGGCUCAACCUUGGAACUGCAUUUGAAACUGUUGGUCUUGAGUAUCGGAGA